RNAcentral lists this ribosomal RNA (408 nucleotides) under uncultured bacterium. RNAcentral's name for it is "partial 16S ribosomal RNA". It matches the Rfam family "Bacterial small subunit ribosomal RNA", at positions 28 to 526 of the family's 1533-position model. The record is from RNAcentral.
GACGAACGCUGGCGGCGUGCUUAACACAUGCAAGUCGAACGAAGUGGCGAACGGGUGAGUAACGCGUAAUCAACCUGCCCUUCAGAGGGGGACACCAGUUGGCAACGACUGCUACUACCGCAUACUGAAGGAGGUGAUUGCGUCUGAUUAGCUAGUUGGAGGGGUAACGGCCCACCAAGGCGAUGAUCAGUCGCCGGUCUGAGAGGAUGAACGGCCAGAUUGGGACUGAGACACGGCCCAGACUCCUACGGGAGGCAGCAGUGGGGAAUAUGGGACAAUGGGCGAAAGACUGAUCCAGACAUGCCGCGUGUGUGAAGAAGGUCUUCGGAUGGUAAAGCACUGUAAGUUGGGAUGCGUUACCAACAGAAUAAGCACCGGCUAACUUCGUGCCAGCAGCCGCGGUAAUAC